This 937-nucleotide small RNA is filed under the name Mycoplasmopsis opalescens. RNAcentral describes it as "bacterial LSU rRNA". The stretch from base 441 to 937 matches the Rfam family "Bacterial large subunit ribosomal RNA", at positions 1 to 497 of the family's 2925-position model. Lineage: Bacteria; Bacillati; Mycoplasmatota; Mycoplasmoidales; Metamycoplasmataceae. The record is from RNAcentral.
CGCCCGUCAAACCAUGGGAGCUGGUAAUGCCCGAAGUCGGUUUAUAAACAAACUGCCUAAGGCAGGACUGGUGACUGGGGUUAAGUCGUAACAAGGUAUCCCUACGAGAACGUGGGGAUGGAUCACCUCCUUUCUACGGAGUACAAAAAUCAUUAUUUUUAAUGAUUAUUAACCUUUUUUACUAGACCUUAUUUAUUUGUUAUGUGCUUUGUUUUUAUGGUCUACAAAGCUUAUAUCUAGUUUUGAGAGAGCAUUCUCUCUUUGUUCUUUGAAAACUGAAUAGUAAAUUUUAAAAUAUUUACAACGACAUCAAUAAUUAAUUGAUUUAGGUCAAUUUGUUUUGAUUCAUCGAGAUAAAAAACAAUCAUAAAUUUUUGAUUCAUUGAAAUGUCUUAAAAUACACAUCAUAAUGUAACCAAUACAAUAGGAUAAAUACUUACUUUUAAAUAAGGAAGAGUGAGUGGUGGAUGCCUUGGGUCUGGAAGUCGAAGAAGGACGUGAUUACCUGCGAUAAGCCUCGUGAAGCUGGAUAUAAGCUAUGAUACGGGGAUUUCCGAAUGGGGAAACCUAACUAGAGUAAUGUCUAGUUGCCUUUAACUGAAUUCAUAGGUUAAUGAGCGAGACACCAUGUGAACUGAAACAUCUUAGUAGCAUGAGGAAGAGAAAAUAAAUAAUGAUUUCUUUAGUAGCGGUGAGCGAACGAGAAAGAGCCCAAACCAUUUUAUAUGGGGUUGUAGGACGAUCUACAUAGAGUUACAAAACUUAAUAAUAGCAGAAACUUUUGGGAAGAAGUGGCAUAGAGGGUGAUACCCCCGUAAGCGAAAUUGUUAAGUCUCUUGAUCGUAUCCUGAGUAGGGCGGGGCACGUGAAACCCUGUCUGAAUCUGCCGGGACCACCCGGUAAGGCUAAAUACUAACCAGACACCGAUAGUGAACUA